GGUAUUGCGCCGGUGUGAACGGGUAACUCUGAUGACGUUAAAUACGAGAUUUUUCCUCUCCAAUACCU
This 68-nucleotide transfer RNA is filed under the name Eulepethus nanhaiensis. RNAcentral's name for it is "tRNA-Ile". The record is from RNAcentral. Lineage: Eukaryota; Metazoa; Annelida; Polychaeta; Phyllodocida; Eulepethidae.